CGCUCACAUCCCCCCACCGGGACAGCAGUUACCUGUUGGUGGUGUGAGGGCGGCGUGCAGGCACAGUGAGGCGCAAAGGUCGGUGGGCAGCUGAUCAGAGAUGCCGGUGCAAAUCCCGGACGAUUCGGACUUCUGUUCGUUCAGAGAGCAGUGCCUGAGCACGGAGGGCUGGACCAGCCGCUACAGCAAGGGAGGGGUGACGGUGUGGGGGCGCGAGGAGGACAGCAGCACCGUGCAGAAGCUCAAGAUGAGGAUAGUCUGUAAGGACGUGACAGCAGAGACAUUGUACGACGUCCUCCAUGACACCAGCUACCGGAAGAAGUGGGACACCAACAUGAUCGAUACGUAUGACAUCGGCAGGCUGACGGUCAACGCAGACGUGGGAUAUUACUCCUCCUAUAAGAGCGAGAUCAUGAAGGUGGGUCUGCUGAGGUGUCGCGAGGAGCCUCCGAAGCUCCUUCAGGGGACCAGGUUCCAGGAGAGAACGUUCCAGAUUCGAGACCACAAACUGCUGCUGCUCAAAGACAAGAAGAGCAUCAAACCUGAGAAGGAGUGGGCUCUGAAAUCCUUAAAGAUCUACAUCGGCAUCCGCAAGAAGCUGAAGGCUCCAACCAGGUGGGGCUUCACAGUGAUGUCAGACAAACACCAGCUGUACCUGUGCUGCAGCAGCGAGGCCGAGCUGUGGGAUUGGAUCACGAGCCUUCUCAGAGCUCAGAACGAUGACCCAGGUCCUCCGGCGCUGCGCCGCCACUCCUCCUCUGACAUCUCCAAGCAGAAGUUCGGAACGAUGCCGCUCGUCUCCAUCAGAGGAGACGAGAGCAACAGCAGCAUGCUGUCAGCCAAUCAGACGCUGAGGAAACUACACGACCGGAGAACUCUCUCCAUGUACUUUCCCAUGAAGGUCCAGCAGGACUCGUUCGAGGAGCGCUCAGAGUCUCCUGACCUGCCUGAGCCGCUCUACGAGGAGGUCGGCGACUUCGGCCUGCAGGUCCUGAAGUCUCUGGAGACCAGCUUCCUGUCCAGCAGCAUUGCAGAGACCCAGGAAGUGCCAGACCACUUCAGGAGGCGAGAGCAGAGAACAAGAGUGCAGCAGUUUGGUGAAAGGAACAGGAAAGGUGAAGAAGAGGUGAGCAUCCAAAAGACGAGCAAGAGGACAGUUUCAAAGGAGACAUUAUGGCACAAUAAAAGCUGCCUCCUCCUGUUUCACUGCCAUAUAUCCAUCACCAGAGGGCUCCACUGACCUGCCUGCUGACAUCAGAGCACACCCCUGUGUCAUGUGACCUGGCAAAGCUGGACUCAGACCUGGCCCAGGAUGCCGGCAUGAUGUCUGGCUUCUGAGGAUCUUCUGGUCUGUGACACACCACAGUUAAUUUAUCUUAAUAAUAAACAUUUUCAUUUAGAAA
Oreochromis aureus is the source of this 1403-nucleotide RNA transcript. It is a transcript of the gene named arf-GAP with Rho-GAP domain, ANK repeat and PH domain-containing protein 3-like, with no coding region annotated. The record is from RefSeq and is a predicted model, not a curated record. The transcript has 12 exons. NCBI's taxonomy places the organism in Eukaryota, Metazoa, Chordata, Actinopteri, Cichliformes, Cichlidae.